RNAcentral lists this ribosomal RNA (439 nucleotides) under uncultured bacterium. RNAcentral's name for it is "partial 16S ribosomal RNA". It matches the Rfam family "Bacterial small subunit ribosomal RNA", at positions 339 to 795 of the family's 1533-position model. The record is from RNAcentral.
CUACGGGGCGCAGCAGUGAGGAAUAUUGGACAAUGGAGGAAACUCUGAUCCAGCCAUGCCGCGUGAGUGAAGAAGGCCUUAGGGUUGUAAAGCUCUUUCAAUAGUGAAGAUAAUGACGGUAGCUAUAGAAGAAGCUCCGGCUAAAUUCGUGCCAGCAGCCGCGGUAAUACGAAUGGAGCAAGCGUUGUUCGGAAUCACUGGGCUUAAAGCGUGCGCAGGCGGAACAGAAAGUCAGAAGUGAAAGCCCCGGGCUCAACCCGGGAACUGCUUUUGAAACUCCUGUUCUAGAAUCCGAUAGAGGUAAGGAGAAUUCCUAGUGUAGAGGUGAAAUUCGCAGAUAUUAGGAGGAAUACCAGUGGCGUAGGCGCCUUACUGGGUCGGUAUUGACGCUCAUGUACGAAAGCGUGGGGAGCAAACAGGAUUAGAUACCCCAGUAGUC